Musa acuminata AAA Group (dessert banana) is the source of this 2807-nucleotide RNA transcript. It is a transcript of the gene named ATP synthase subunit beta, mitochondrial-like, with no coding region annotated. The transcript has 9 exons. The record is from RefSeq and is a predicted model, not a curated record. NCBI's taxonomy places the organism in Eukaryota, Viridiplantae, Streptophyta, Magnoliopsida, Zingiberales, Musaceae.
CUCUCACCGGUUGUUUCGGCCGAGUUUAGAAUCUGAAAACCCGAAUCUGAUCUCUCUCCUCUCCAAUCCGGCCGCCAUGGCCUCCCGCCGCCUCCUCUCCGCUCUCCUCCGCUCUUCAUCUUCCCGCCGACCCUUCCUCGGCCGUCUCCCUUCUUCCCCCCCGGGGGUCCCGCGCCCUUCCCCUGUUGGCUCUCUGCUCCACCGCGCCGUCCGCUACGCCGCCGCCACUGCAACACCCUCGCCACCUGCGCCGACUCCUCCUCCCAAACCGGCCUCGGGGCCCAGUGGAAAGAUCACUGACGAAUUCACCGGCGCCGGCGCGAUCGGGAAGGUAUGCCAGGUGAUCGGCGCCGUCGUCGAUGUCCGAUUUGACGAGGGGCUGCCCCCGAUCCUAACAGCGCUGGAGAUGCUCGACAACCAGAUCCGGCUCGUCCUCGAGGUCGCGCAGCAUCUGGGGGAGAACAUGGUGCGGACGAUCGCCAUGGACGGAACCCAAGGUCUCGUCCGCGGGCAGAGAGUCCUGAAAACUGGUUCGCCCAUCACUUCGGUUGCCCGGGCUACCGUUGGCCACAUUAUGAAUGUUAUUGGGGAACCGAUAGAUGAGAAGGGUGACAUCAAGACAAGUCAUUUUCUUCCCAUUCAUCGCGAGGCACCUGCUUUUGUUGAGCAGGCAACAGAACAACAGAUUCUUGUCACGGGAAUCAAGGUUGUUGAUCUUCUGGCACCUUAUCAAAGGGAUGGAAAGAUUGGUUUGUUUGGUGGUGCCGGUGUGGGUAAAACUGUACUAAUCAUGGAACCAAUCAACAAUGUUGCAAAAGCUCAUGGUGGUUUCUCUGUCUUUGCCGGUGUUGGGGAACGUACUCGUGAGGGCAAUGAUUUGUACAGAGAAAUGAUUGAGAGUGGUGUUAUUAAGCUUGGAGACAAGCAGGAUGAAAGCAAGUGUGCUCUUGCAUAUGGGCAAAUGAACGAGCCCUUGUGCACGCGUUGGUUUGACUGGGUUGACGGUUGCUGAGCACUUCCGAGAUGCUAAGGGGCAGGAUGUGCUUCUCUUUAUUGACAACAUUUUUCACUUCACACAAGCAAACUCUGAAGUGUCUGCCUUGCUUGGUCGUAUACCCUCUGCUGUUGGCUACCAACCAACCCUUGCAACUGAUCUUGGAGGGCUGCAAGAACGUAUUACAACAACAAAGAAAGGAUCUAUUACUUCAGUGCAAGCUAUUUAUGUCCCUUCUGAUGACUUGACAGAUCCGGCUCCUGCAACAACCUUUGCCCAUCUGGACGCUCGUGACAGGUUUAUAUAUGCAAUUGUUAUUCUGUAAGCUAUUUCUGAGCUCGGCAUCUAUCCUGCUGUCGACCCUCGUGACUCCAGAUCCAGAAUGCUUUCUCCACACAUGUUGGGGGAAGAACACUAUAACACUGCUCGUGGUGUUCAGAAGGUCCUCCAAAACUAUAAGAACCUACAAGAUAUCAUUGCAAUUCUGGGAAUGGAUGAACUCAGUGAAGAUGAUAAGUUGACAGUUGCUUGUGCUUGAAAGAUCUAGCGGUUCCUGAGCCAGCCUUUCCAUGUUGCUGAGGUAUUCACAGGUGCACCUGGAAAAUAUGACGAACUGAAAGAAAGUGUUAACAGCUUUCAGGGUGUUUUGGAUGGGAAGUAUGAUGACCUGCCUGAGCAGUCAUUUUGCAUGGUUGGAGGAAUCGAGGAAGUCAUCGCAAAGGCAGAGAAGAUUUCUAAGGAGGCAGCAGCAUGAUAGGAACUCACUACUAUCCAUAUUUAGUACCUUUUGAGGAUGCAGCUGGUGUUUCCUGCAUUCAACAAAUUGCAAUUUUGAAGUGGUGACUUAAAUCUUUAUGCUUCGUUAGUCCUGGGUCAGAUUUGUGGCUCUUUAGAGAUGAGAAAACAUCAUGGUCCUUCGAGGAUACAUUUGGCCCAACACGAGAAUGCAGAGGUCUGUUUGAUCAUGCACUAAGAUGGAACUUUCAAAUGUCUAUUCAAGUUAAGUAUUUGUGUGCAUUGGCUGUAAGGCAAAUGGAUUCGUUUUCAAAAGUGGUGGUGCAUGAGUUCACAUGGACAAUUAUUGGUGCUGAUCUAGUUUCUUCUUGUGGUGCAUCUUCUGGCCUCCAAGAAAUAGAACGUCCAUAUCAGCAAUUUAAUGAUCAGGGGCAGCUGGAGACUAGAAAACAAUUGCUUGCUAAUUGUGCAGUUGAUCUUUCCAUUUCUUCUGAACUUAUUAAGUCUAAGGGACUAUGAACUGCACAAGGGGAAACCUGCACUGGCCACCAAUCCUGCCAGCCUUACAUUUCUUCUUGUAGGGAGUGAUUGCUCUACUCAAAGCUGGCUUUGUGGUUGUGGAAAAGCUGCAGCAGCCUAUGCCUCUCAAAGCUGUAAUUGGCAUCUGGAAUUGCAAUUAUUGGAGCGGUGGAAUGGACUCAUUGUAAUAAUGCCUCUCAUUUAACGUUUAGAGAGAGUCCUUUUCUUGCGAUUUGCUGGAAUACUUGGAAAUGAGAGUCUUUACUCAUCAUCCUUGUCCAACCAAACUGGUGAGCAGCAAUCAUUAGAACCUGGAUAUUAUUACCACCAGCGACGCCAUCUGUUCCCUUGCAUAAUUGAAGCCCCGUUUAGGCGCUUCACAAAGUUGCGUGCCGUGUAGUGGACGCCGUUAUUAUUAUUGUACAAGGUAUUCAUAUAUUUAUCUGUAUACACAGUAAGAAAAAGAACAAUCGAAUGCAGAGUCUCUCACCAAUACGAGUGAUUAAUUACUGUUCUUCGAAUUUUAUUUUUUUUAAUGCUAAAAUUCAUGUAUGACUUC